This 476-nucleotide ribosomal RNA is filed under the name uncultured bacterium. Its description in RNAcentral is "bacterial SSU rRNA". It matches the Rfam family "Bacterial small subunit ribosomal RNA", at positions 335 to 799 of the family's 1533-position model. The record is from RNAcentral.
ACUCCUACGGGAGGCAGCAGUGGGGAAUAUUGCACAAUGGGGGAAACCCUGAUGCAGCCAUGCCGCGUGUGUGAAGAAGGCCUUCGGGUUGUAAAGCACUUUCAGUUGUGAGGAAAAGUUAGUAGUUAAUACCUGCUAGCCGUGACGUUAACAACAGAAGAAGCACCGGCUAACUCCGUGCCAGCAGCCGCGGUAAUACGGAGGGUGCGAGCGUUAAUCGGAAUUACUGGGCGUAAAGCGCACGCAGGCGGUUUGUUAAGCUAGAUGUGAAAGCCCCGGACUCAAACCUGGGGAUGGUCAUUUAGAACUGGCAGACUAGAGUCUUGGAGAGGGGAGUGGAAUUCCAGGUGUAGCGGUGAAAUGCGUAGAUAUCUGGAGGAACAUCAGUGGCGAAGGCGACUCCCUGGCCAAAGACUGACGCUCAUGUGCGAAAGUGUGGGUAGCGAAACAGGAUUAGAUACCCUGGUAGGAUAGCG